UGCGCAGGCGGCCGUGUGUGUGAGGCGUGAAAGCCCGAGGCUCAACCUCGGAAUUGCACCUCAAACUACACGGCUAGAGCAUUGGAGAGGGUAGCGGAAUUCAUGGUGUAGCAGUGAAAUGCGUAGAUAUCAUGAGGAACACCAGAGGCGAAGGCGGCUACCUGGACAAUUGCUGACGCUCAGGCACGAAAGCGUGGGGAGCAAAAGGGAUUAGAUACCCCUGUAGUCCACGCCCUAAACGGUGCACACUAGGUCUUGGAGGAUUCGACCCCUCCAGGGCCCAAGCUAACGCGUUAAGUGUGCCGCCUGAGGACUACGGCCGCAAGGCUAAA
This 332-nucleotide ribosomal RNA is filed under the name uncultured bacterium. RNAcentral's name for it is "bacterial SSU rRNA". It matches the Rfam family "Bacterial small subunit ribosomal RNA", at positions 568 to 898 of the family's 1533-position model. The record is from RNAcentral.